GAAUAUUUGACAAUGGGCGAAAGCCUGAUCCAGCCAUGCCGCGUGUGUGAAGAAGGUCUUCGGAUUGUACAGCACUUUAAGUUGGGAGGAAGGGCAGUAAGCGAAUCCCUUGCUGUUUUGACGUUACCGACCGCAUACGCACCGGCUCACUCUGUUCCAGCAGCCGCGGUAAUACAGAGGGUGCAAGCGUUAAUCGGAAUUACUGGGCGUAAAGCGCGCGUAGGUGGGUCGUUAAGUUGGAUGUGAAAUCCCCGGGCUCAACCUGGGAACUGCAUCCAAAACUGGCGAGCUAGAGUAGGGCAGAGGGUGGUGGAAUUUCCUGUGUAGCGGUGAGAUGCGUAGAUAUAGGAAGGAACACCAGUGGCGAAGGCGACCACCUGGGCUCAUACUGACACUGAGGUGCGAAAGCGUGGGGAGCAAACA
Molecule: ribosomal RNA, 423 nt
Filed under: uncultured bacterium
Lineage: Bacteria
Description: partial 16S ribosomal RNA
Rfam family: Bacterial small subunit ribosomal RNA
Source: RNAcentral